CCUACGGGGGGCAGCAGUGGGGAAUAUUGCACAAUGGGCGCAAGCCUGAUGCAGCCAUGCCGCGUGUAUGAAGAAGGCCUUCGGGUUGUAAAGUACUUUCAGCGGGGAGGAAGGCGUUGAGGUUAAUAACCUCAGCAAUUGACGUUACCCGCAGAAGAAGCACCGGCUAACUCCGUGCCAGCAGCCGCGGUAAUACGGAGGGUGCAAGCGUUAAUCGGAAUUACUGGGCGUAAAGCGCACGCAGGCGGUCUGUCAAGUCGGAUGUGAAAUCCCCGGGCUCAACCUGGAAACUGCAUUCGAAACUGGCAGGCUGGAGUCUUGUAGAGGGGGGUAGAAUUCCGGGUGUAGCGGUGAAAUGCGUAGAGAUCUGGAGGAAUACCGGUGGCGAAGGCGGCCCCCUGGACAAAGUCUGACGCUCAGGUGCGAAAGCGUGGGGAGCAAACAGGAUUAGAUACCCCCGUAGUC
This 465-nucleotide ribosomal RNA is filed under the name uncultured bacterium. RNAcentral's name for it is "bacterial SSU rRNA". It matches the Rfam family "Bacterial small subunit ribosomal RNA", at positions 338 to 795 of the family's 1533-position model. The record is from RNAcentral.